This 1299-nucleotide ribosomal RNA is filed under the name Arthrobacter sp. RNAcentral's name for it is "bacterial SSU rRNA". It matches the Rfam family "Bacterial small subunit ribosomal RNA", at positions 93 to 1401 of the family's 1533-position model. Lineage: Bacteria; Bacillati; Actinomycetota; Actinomycetes; Micrococcales; Micrococcaceae. The record is from RNAcentral.
UAGUGGCGAACGGGUGAGUAACACGUGAGUAACCUGCCCUUAACUCUGGGAUAAGCCUGGGAAACUGGGUCUAAUACCGGAUAUGACUCCUCAUCGCAUGGUGGGGGGUGGAAAGCUUUUUUGUGGUUUUGGAUGGACUCGCGGCCUAUCAGCUUGUUGGUGAGGUAAUGGCUCACCAAGGCGACGACGGGUAGCCGGCCUGAGAGGGUGACCGGCCACACUGGGACUGAGACACGGCCCAGACUCCUACGGGAGGCAGCAGUGGGGAAUAUUGCACAAUGGGCGCAAGCCUGAUGCAGCGACGCCGCGUGAGGGAUGACGGCCUUCGGGUUGUAAACCUCUUUCAGUAGGGAAGAAGCGAAAGUGACGGUACCUGCAGAAGAAGCGCCGGCUAACUACGUGCCAGCAGCCGCGGUAAUACGUAGGGCGCAAGCGUUAUCCGGAAUUAUUGGGCGUAAAGAGCUCGUAGGCGGUUUGUCGCGUCUGCCGUGAAAGUCCGGGGCUCAACUCCGGAUCUGCGGUGGGUACGGGCAGACUAGAGUGAUGUAGGGGAGACUGGAAUUCCUGGUGUAGCGGUGAAAUGCGCAGAUAUCAGGAGGAACACCGAUGGCGAAGGCAGGUCUCUGGGCAUUAACUGACGCUGAGGAGCGAAAGCAUGGGGAGCGAACAGGAUUAGAUACCCUGGUAGUCCAUGCCGUAAACGUUGGGCACUAGGUGUGGGGGACAUUCCACGUUUUCCGCGCCGUAGCUAACGCAUUAAGUGCCCCGCCUGGGGAGUACGGCCGCAAGGCUAAAACUCAAAGGAAUUGACGGGGGCCCGCACAAGCGGCGGAGCAUGCGGAUUAAUUCGAUGCAACGCGAAGAACCUUACCAAGGCUUGACAUGGGCCGGACCGGGCUGGAAACAGUCCUUCCCCUUUGGGGCCGGUUCACAGGUGGUGCAUGGUUGUCGUCAGCUCGUGUCGUGAGAUGUUGGGUUAAGUCCCGCAACGAGCGCAACCCUCGUUCCAUGUUGCCAGCGCGUAAUGGCGGGGACUCAUGGGAGACUGCCGGGGUCAACUCGGAGGAAGGUGGGGACGACGUCAAAUCAUCAUGCCCCUUAUGUCUUGGGCUUCACGCAUGCUACAAUGGCCGGUACAAAGGGUUGCGAUACUGUGAGGUGGAGCUAAUCCCAAAAAGCCGGUCUCAGUUCGGAUUGGGGUCUGCAACUCGACCCCAUGAAGUCGGAGUCGCUAGUAAUCGCAGAUCAGCAACGCUGCGGUGAAUACGUUCCCGGGCCUUGUACACACCGCCCGUCAAG